UUCUUUCUACCGACCAGUGGUCCACGUGAAGAUGCAACUCGUAUUGGAUCUGCUGGAGUUGUUAGGCGUCAGGCUGUGGAUAUUUCACCUCUGAGACGUGUGAAUCAGGCUAUCUAUCUCCUCACAACCGGCGCUCGUGAGUCUGCUUUCAGGAACGUCAAGACUAUUGCAGAGUGUUUGGCCGAUGAACUUAUUAAUGCUGCCAAAGGUUCCUCUAACAGGUACUGACGACUUGUUUCAUAUGCACGUUGCCUAUUACUUGUUAUUUUCUCUCCAAACUCUUAUUUCUGUGCUUUUUUCAUCUGUUUCCCUUGAUUCAUUGGUUUCUUUCCUGACUAUUUGUGCUCCUUUUUGUGCAGUUACGCAAUCAAGAAGAAGGAUGAGAUCGAACGAGUCGCUAAGGCCAACCGUUAAGGAGCUGCCGAAAUUUUUUAUGACGCGGGAGUUUUGUCUGCGUUUUGUUUAUUCGAUUGUUGCUUAAGAAGUAGUCGGAUUUACCCUUGAGCAUGAGAAUUGUGUCAUUUUUUUUGUUAUGAAGAUCUCAAUUAAUCUUGUUGAGUUGAAUUUUAUUUGAAUUAUGAUACAUUUGAAUAGUAAAUUUUCAAAACCUUAGUAGCUGUUGACAAACAACCCCACUCGGGGUAAGAAGUUGCAAAAACAAGAACAUAAUUGUAUAAAAUCUCUUGUGAAAAGUUUAAAUUUAAAUAAUAAAAGUUGGAAAAACACUAAAACCAUAGGCUUUUGCAGUAUAGAAAGGGAAUUUUAACGAAAAGUUUCUGGUACUGUUUACUUAAACGAAAAUUCAUAUUUUUGCACUAAAAAAUCAAUUCUGGUACUAUUCAUUUUAUCCUUUAAUUUGUUAUUAUCGUUAAAAUUCAAAGUUUUCAAGUCUUUUUCAUUAGUUUUCCUGUAUAAAAAAAAAUUAAGUGUGUAAAGAAUAUGUGUAUGGUGUUUUAUCAUAGUUUGCCGCCAUCUCUCUCCUCCCCUUAAAAGUGAUUGCUUUCUGUCAUUUUGAUAAAGCAUAAUCUGGAAAUUAGGAUUUUCGAUAUAGACACUUUAAAAAUUUGAAAUAAAUAAAAUAGGCAAAUUCACUUUCGGUCCUUACAGUUUAGUUAAAGAUCACUUUUGAUCUCUAUUGUUUCAACUAUCUCAAUUUUAGUUCAUGUAGUUUCUCAAACUAUGUAAUUGAAUGACACAUUACAUUUUUCAUCCAAAUUUGAAUUUUAAUAUAAACACUUUAAAAAUAUAAAUAAAUAAACUAAUAAUAUAGGCAAAAUUUCACUUUCGAUCUUUAUAGUUUAGUUGAAGUUCACUUUUAUUCUCUAUGGUUCCAAUUGUCUCAAUUUUAGUUCAUGUAAUUUCUCAAACUACGCAAUUCAAUGAAACGUUACAUUUUUUAUCCAGUCAAUUAACUACUAAACUAGAAAAAGCAUGUGUCACUUAGAUGCAUGGGCAUUUUAGUAAUUUAAUAGCAAAUAGAUAAAAAAAAAAUACAGCGUGUCCUCGAGUUGCAUCGUUUGCAAAAGUACAAGGACUAAAAUUGAUACAAUUGAAACCACAGGGACCAAAACCGAAAUUCAAUAAAAAUAUAGGGACCAAAAGUGAAAUUUGGCCAACAAAAUUAGAAGAAAGGUAAACUAGACCCGACCCGAGAUCCAAAGCCCUAGCUGAUAAAAUGACCCUCUUCCUCUCACUCUUAGCCGUUUCCUAGUCUUCAGCGAUUCAGCACGCCCUCCCCGGCACCUCUCGCUCACUCGUCUGAAAUUCGAACCUCUCGGUCAGUCCUCUUCUCUCUCACCCACCUCCGCCGCUUCCCGUCGUUGAUAGCGUAACUUUCGCAUAACAUCUGUUACUUACUGUGAAACUGGAUUUAAUUAUCAUUAGGCUAUUCCUUUAAUUAGAAUUAGAUUUGAAUUUUUAGUUGGGUAUGUUGAUUGAAAUGCGAAAUUAGGGUUCACGGUGCUAAAGUGAUUAAGUUAGGGAUUUACUGAUUUGUAUCCUUUUCCCCUUUUAUUUUUAUUGGAAUUUUAUUUACAUCAGUUUCGUUGCUUGAUUAGUAGAAACAUAUGGGUUAGGGUUCCCAUAAUUUUUUAAAAUUUAUUUAAAAUUUGAAGCAUUUGAGGCACUGUGAUUGUUCUGCAAUCUCAUUUUCUGGUUUUUUGAUAUUAUUGCGAAGUUUGAUUAUAAGCAUAUUGCUUUGCAGCUUGGUUUUAAUGGCAGCUAUUACCAAAUAUUUUUAUAAUUUUUUUAUUGUACCAACGACUUAUCGCGCCAAUGCUCAGACUUUCCUAGCUUUAAUUGUGUUUAUACAGAACCAUGGCUGCUGCUGAUGUACCUCUUCCUGUAGCCGAACCAACGCAGCCUCACUAUGACGUGAAGCUGUUCAACAAGUGGAGCUUUGAUGAUGUCCAGGUUUCUGGAUUUUAUUAUUUGACUUAGUGAAUUAUAUUUUUCUCUUAUCUGUGAUGAUUUAGAUGAAAUAAGGUUUCCUUCAACGUGUAUGUUUACAGCUACAAUAGGCUUAAUGUAGGUAGGUUUGAGCUAUUAUACUCUGUUUUAGAAUAUACUGAUGGUUGGAUACUAACUGAGGCAACUUUUAUGUUCGUUUUGUUGUUGGGUAGUUGUAAGUAACAUGACGGGUUUCUGCCUCAGCCUCAAUAUAUUGAUUGGAUUUGUUUUUUUAAAUGUUUAGAAAUGUGUGUGGCCUCCUUGUGGCCGUCUUGUGUUAAAUUCACUGUAGGCAUCUUUAUGUUUGUUUCUUUGUGGGUCGUUGUAAAUAACGUGAUGGAUGUGUGGCUCAAAUGUCAAUAGAUUUAUUGGAUUUGAUCUAGAAAUAUGCGUGUCCUCCUUGUGGCUGUCAUGAGUUAGAUUCACUGUAUGUCUAACAAAGUAGGCUUAAGUUUAUUGCACUUGUUUCGGUGACAUGUAUGUUGUGUCGUCCUGAAUAUGCUGAUUUUGUUUUUACUGUGAUUUUCAAAUUUAUACUGAUAAAGUCAGCAUUUAUGUAUGUUUUGGUUUAUUUCAUGUGUAUCUUACAGCUUGUCCUCGCUAUUAAGUGUUUCUAUUGAUUGAUUGGUUUUUUUGCCUCAAGUUGUUUUUUGUUUUGUUUAGACGCUGAAAAGGAUUUUGUCGACAAAAGCUUGUUAAUUUUAUUGUCUUGCAUCUUCUAAUGUAUGGACUAAUUUUUUUUAUGUGAUUCUUCAUCACAUCUAUUUCCCUUAUUUAUGUGGAAUGAUAACGUAUAAUUUUAACAUGUAGGUCAGUGACAUUUCACUGGCGGAUUACAUUGGAGUUGCACCUUCCAAGCAUGCAACUUAUGUACCUCACACUGCUGGGAGAUACUCAGUCAAACGAUUCAGGAAAGCUCAGUGCCCUAUUGUGGAGAGGCUUACAAACUCUCUCAUGAUGCACGGGAGAAACAAUGGAAAGAAACUCAUGGCUGUCAGGAUUGUUAGGCACGCGAUGGAAAUUAUCCAUUUGCUAACUGAUCUGAACCCAAUCCAAGUUAUUGUUGAUGCUGUCGUUAACAGGUACGUACGCAAAUAUGUUAAUAUCUUUCUCAUGGUAAUAAGAUGUGCUGUGCUUUGUGUAGUCCCUUGUUUGAUGCUUGACCAGAUGCUCAUGUGCCCUUUAGUAUAGUUUUUCUGAUUACAUGUGAUUUUUAUAUCUGUUUGGAUUACAAUGGAUAUGACCAUUCUUCUUCUUUGAAUUCUGUGUGUUUGUAUAUCCUUGUUUUAUUUCUCAUGUUGUAUGUCUUCUUUGUGCCAAUCAGUGGUCCACGUGAAGAUGCAACUCGUAUUGGAUCUGCUGGAGUGGUUAGGCGUCAGGCUGUGGAUAUCUCACCUCUGAGACGUGUGAAUCAGGCUAUCUAUCUCCUCACAACUGGUGCUCGUGAGUCUGCUUUCAGGAACGUUAAAACUAUUGCUGAAUGUUUGGCUGAUGAACUUAUUAAUGCUGCCAAAGGUUCCUCUAACAGGUAGUGCGCUUAUUUGCCUAUUACACUUUAUUUUCUCCAAAGCUCUUUCAUCUGAGUUUGCUAUUUCCGUUUAAGUUAUGUUCUUUCCAUUGAUUCGUUGUUUCUUCGCUGACGAUUAGUGGUGUUUUAUCUGC
RNAcentral lists this long non-coding RNA (4110 nucleotides) under Malus domestica (apple). RNAcentral describes it as "long non-coding RNA (MDOM_LNC011130)". The record is from RNAcentral. Lineage: Eukaryota; Viridiplantae; Streptophyta; Magnoliopsida; Rosales; Rosaceae.